UAUUAUGAUUAAUCUCCACGUAUGAUUCAUGGCAUGGUAAUCCAGUGAUGAGACAAUAUUCUUGCAUACUAAAUCUGGCAACACGAUCACCUAAGCGUACCCACACUUGGUUAUUUUUACCACAAUAUAUAAGCCUCAUCACAAAUUCAUGUAUCAACUUACUGCUAAAUUGUUCAUCCUCUUCCCUAUACAUAACUCCCACAAAAAAUCCAUAGAAAUUGCUGCACAUAACAGAAGCCCGUUGAUUUGCAUCUAUAAAUUCAAAAAAAUCCAGGAGAUAUUGCUGAUUUGGAUAUUGACAAAUAGUGGCAGGGAACUAUUGAUCUGGAG
This 330-nucleotide long non-coding RNA is filed under the name Olea europaea subsp. europaea. The record is from RNAcentral. Lineage: Eukaryota; Viridiplantae; Streptophyta; Magnoliopsida; Lamiales; Oleaceae.